This is a long non-coding RNA of Fukomys damarensis (Damara mole-rat), 210 nucleotides long. RefSeq lists it as uncharacterized. Lineage: Eukaryota; Metazoa; Chordata; Mammalia; Rodentia; Bathyergidae. The transcript is spliced from 3 exons. The record is from RefSeq and is a predicted model, not a curated record.
UCCUCGUGCUUGCAAAGCAGGCAGCAGAACCACUUAGCUAAAUCACUGGCCCAGAAAACAACUUCUUGAUUGUGGGUACUAAGGUAGUUCAGAGAGAAGAAAGAUGAUAAGCUUCCUGAAGGAUUGUGAUGAAGUAGAGAUGCCCAAGACUGAAGUCCGAAAUAAUGAGCCACCACAUGGAGGACAGAUGUCCCAAAGAGCUACCUGGAC